GGGGAUGCAGCUCAGGGGUAGAGCAUUUGACUGCAGAUCAAGAGGUCCCUGGUUGAAGUCUAGGUGUCCCCU
This 72-nucleotide transfer RNA is filed under the name Marmota monax (woodchuck). It matches the Rfam family "tRNA". Rfam says of the family: Transfer RNA (tRNA) molecules are approximately 80 nucleotides in length. Their secondary structure includes four short double-helical elements and three loops (D, anti-codon, and T loops). Lineage: Eukaryota; Metazoa; Chordata; Mammalia; Rodentia; Sciuridae. The record is from Rfam by way of RNAcentral.